UGCCGCUUAACCGCAACGGGACGGAAAGACCCCGUGAACCUUUACUAUAACUUUGUAUUGGUAUUGUGUAAAUAAUGUGUAGGAUAGGUGGGAGACUUUGAUCCUGUGUCGCUAGGCAUAGGUUAGUCGUUGGUGAAAUACCACCCUUUAUUUACUUGAUCCCUAACUCAUUUAUGAGGACAUUGCAUGGUGGGUAGUUUGACUGGGGUGGUCGCCUCCUAAAAAGUAACGGAGGCUUUCAAAGGUUCCCUCUGUACGUUUGGUAAUCGUAUUUAGAGCGCAAUAGCAUAAGGGUGCUUGACUGUGAGGCCUACAAGCCGAUCAGGGUCGAAAGACGGAUAUAGUGAUCCGGUGGUUCCGCAUGGAAGGGCCAUCGCUCAAAGGAUAAAAGGUACUCUGGGGAUAACAGGCUGAUCUCCCCCAAGAGCUCACAUCGACGGGGAGGUUUGGCACCUCGAUGUCGGCUCGUCACGUCCUGGAGCUGGAGAAGGUUCCAAGGGUUGGGCUGUUCGCCCAUUAAAGUGGUACGUGAGCUGGGUUCAGAACGUCGUAAGACAGUUCGGUCCCUAUCCGCCGUGGUCGCAGGAAACUUGAGGGAUGCUGUUCCUAGUACGAGAGGACCGGAACGGACGAACCUCUGGUGCACCAGUUGUCUCAUCAGAGGCACCGCUGGGUAGCUAUGUUCGGAUGGGAUAAGCGCUGAAAGCAUAUAAGUGCGAAACCCUUCCCAAGAUUAGGUUUCCCUUCUCGAUUUCGAUCGAGAGAGAAGGGUCCCUGUAGACUACAGGGUUGAUAGGUCACAGGUGUAAGGUCAGUAAUGACUUCAGCCGAGUGAUACUAAUUGCCCGUCAGGCUUUACUAA
This 862-nucleotide ribosomal RNA is filed under the name Fidelibacterota bacterium. RNAcentral describes it as "bacterial LSU rRNA". It matches the Rfam family "Bacterial large subunit ribosomal RNA", at positions 2060 to 2925 of the family's 2925-position model. Lineage: Bacteria; Pseudomonadati; Fidelibacterota. The record is from RNAcentral.